Molecule: long non-coding RNA, 659 nt
Organism: Coregonus clupeaformis (lake whitefish)
Lineage: Eukaryota; Metazoa; Chordata; Actinopteri; Salmoniformes; Salmonidae
Exons: 3
Source: RefSeq, a predicted model, not a curated record
GGAAGAUGGUUCGGGAGGCAAAGAAAAAUCCAAGGGCCAAAGUUGGAGAAUGACAGAACUUGGUCUCCAAAUCUACAAUUAGACGCCAGAUCCUACAAUUCUAUAGUGCUCUGUGUGCUGGCGCCCACCAAAAAGACACCGGAAUCCAGCUAAGAAGGGCCAACACCAUCACAUUCCUGUGUGCAAUGGAUUAAAACCAAUCUCAAAGAGACAAUUACAAAUACGGUAUUCACAUUUAUUUUAUAAAGAAACUGUAUAAUCAUGCACUUGAACUCUGUAUGGAUAUUUACACAUUACUUAACUAGAAAAUAAUGCAAUUUUAUCUGCACAUAUCUUCACUUCCAUGAAUAACACAAGAACAGCAAGACAUAUCACGUGAGUAUUCUAAAAGACACUAGAGGGCAGUACAUACCUAAUAUAAUUCAGGAGAUUCAGACAUGGAAUUACCAUGCUGAAUUUACUGUGUAUUUGAUUUGAUCAACAAUAUAAUGUGGAUUAAACUCUUUUGAAACAGUCAAAUUGUUACACUACAUCAACAUUAGAGUACAGUGACAAGUUCUAGAAUCUGGCCUAGAACAGCCACAUUCAGUUGGUACAACUAGUACUGUUACAGAUACAGUGCCUUCACACACCGUGACUUAUUCCACAUUGUGUUGUGU